CCUACGGGGUGCAGCAGUGAGGAAUAUUGGUCAAUGGACGAGAGUCUGAACCAGCCAAGUAGCGUGAAGGAUGACUGCCCUAUGGGUUGUAAACUUCUUUUAUAUGGGAAUAAAAUGUUCCACGUGUGGGAUUUUGUAUGUACCAUAUGAAUAAGGAUAGGCUAACUCCGUGCCAGCAGCCGCGGUAAUACGGAGGAUCCGAGCGUUAUCCGGAUUUAUUGGGUUUAAAGGGAGCGUAGGUGGAUUGUUAAGUCAGUUGUGAAAGUUUGCGGCUCAACCGUAAAAUUGCAGUUGAAACUGGCAGUCUUGAGUACAGUAGAGGUGGGCGGAAGUCGGGGUGUAGCGGUGAAAUGCUUAGAUAGAACGAAGAACUCCGAUUGCGAAGGCAGCUUACUGGACAGUAACUGACGUUGAGGCUCGAAAGCGUGGGGAGCAAACAGGAUUAGAUACCCGAGUAGUC
RNAcentral lists this ribosomal RNA (460 nucleotides) under uncultured bacterium. RNAcentral's name for it is "partial 16S ribosomal RNA". It matches the Rfam family "Bacterial small subunit ribosomal RNA", at positions 338 to 795 of the family's 1533-position model. The record is from RNAcentral.